Molecule: ribosomal RNA, 231 nt
Filed under: uncultured bacterium
Lineage: Bacteria
Description: partial 16S ribosomal RNA
Rfam family: Bacterial small subunit ribosomal RNA
Source: RNAcentral
UGAGCAACCUGCCCUUGACUCUGGAAUAACAGUUGGAGACAGCUGCUAAUACCGGAUAUGACCUCCGAUGGCAUCAUCUGGAGGUGGAAAGCUCCGACGGUCAAGGAUGGGCUCGCGGCCUAUCAGCUUGUUGGUGAGGUAACGGCUCACCAAGGCUUCGACGGGUAGCCGGCUGAGAGGGCGACCCGGCCACACGUGGGACUGAGAUACGGCCCAGAUCCCGUAACGGGG